RNAcentral lists this ribosomal RNA (292 nucleotides) under uncultured bacterium. Its description in RNAcentral is "partial 16S ribosomal RNA". The record is from RNAcentral.
GGACUACUGGGGUAUCUAAUCCUGUUUGCUCCCCACGCUUUCGCGUCUCAGCGUCAGUGUCCGUCCAGGUCGCCGCCUUCGCCACUGGUGUUCCUCCCGAUAUCUACGAAUUUCACCUCUACACCGGGAAUUCCGCGACCCUCUCCGGCACUCCAGCUCGCCAGUUUCGCGCGCACUUCCUUGGUUGAGCCAAGGGAUUUCACACGCGACUUAACAAGCCGCCUACAAGCGCUUUACGCCCAAUGAUUCCGAACAACGCUCGCACCCUCUGUAUUACCGCGGCUGCUGGCAC